This 329-nucleotide unclassified non-coding RNA is filed under the name Hevea brasiliensis (rubber tree). The record is from RNAcentral. Lineage: Eukaryota; Viridiplantae; Streptophyta; Magnoliopsida; Malpighiales; Euphorbiaceae.
GUCAGGAUAAGUUUCGCAGGGUUGAGAAGGCUGAUCUUAGAGGCUGUUACUUUUGGAUCCUUCCUUUGGGAUGUUGAGAGCUUUGUGGACACCAGGUACCAUUUUGUGGCCAACUAGUUGAUCCUACAAAGUUUCAUCCCAGAUAGUGGAGAUUAGUGUGUAUAUUUGGUCCGAAGUGUAUGGGUUUCAAUGAAGACUCUUUGCAAAACGAAUUUCUCCUGGCUCUAUGCAGAUCGCAGAGAUCUAUGAUUUUUACACAGUUUUCGGGCAUAUAGCUUCAAUGUAAAAUGGAUAUUUUUUUAGCCUAAUGUGCAGCUGUUAGUUCCUGG